Molecule: ribosomal RNA, 735 nt
Filed under: uncultured Actinomycetes bacterium
Lineage: Bacteria; Bacillati; Actinomycetota; Actinomycetes
Description: bacterial SSU rRNA
Rfam family: Bacterial small subunit ribosomal RNA
Source: RNAcentral
AGAGUUUGAUCCUGGCUCAGGAUGAACGCUGGCGGCGUGCUUAACACAUGCAAGUCGAACGAUGAUCCGGUGCUUGCACCGGGGAUUAGUGGCGAACGGGUGAGUAACACGUGAGUAACCUGCCCUUAACUCUGGGAUAAGCCUGGGAAACUGGGUCUAAUACCGGAUAUGACUCCUCAUCGCAUGGUGGGGGGUGGAAAGCUUUUUGUGGUUUUGGAUGGACUCGCGGCCUAUCAGCUUGUUGGUGAGGUAAUGGCUCACCAAGGCGACGACGGGUAGCCGGCCUGAGAGGGUGACCGGCCACACUGGGACUGAGACACGGCCCAGACUCCUACGGGAGGCAGCAGUGGGGAAUAUUGCACAAUGGGCGCAAGCCUGAUGCAGCGACGCCGCGUGAGGGAUGACGGCCUUCGGGUUGUAAACCUCUUUCAGUAGGGAAGAAGCGAAAGUGACGGUACCUGCAGAAGAAGCGCCGGCUAACUACGUGCCAGCAGCCGCGGUAAUACGUAGGGCGCAAGCGUUAUCCGGAAUUAUUGGGCGUAAAGAGCUCGUAGGCGGUUUGUCGCGUCUGCCGUGAAAGUCCGGGGCUCAACUCCGGAUCUGCGGUGGGUACGGGCAGACUAGAGUGAUGUAGGGGAGACUGGAAUUCCUGGUGUAGCGGUGAAAUUCGUAGAUAUCAGGAGGAACACCGAUGGCGAAAGCAGGUCUCUGGGCAUUAACUGACGCUGAGGAGCG